UACGGAAGGGGCUAGCGUUGCUCGGAAUCACUGGGCGUAAAGCGCACGUAGGCGGCUUUCUAAGUCAGGGGUGAAAUCCUGGAGCUCAACUCCAGAACUGCCUUUGAUACUGGAGAGCUUGAGUCCGGAAGAGGUGAGUGGAACUCCGAGUGUAGAGGUGAAAUUCGUAGAUAUUCGGAAGAACACCAGUGGCGAAGGUGGCUCACUGGCCCGGUACUGACGCUGAGGUGCGAAAGCGUGGGGAGCAAACAGG
This 253-nucleotide ribosomal RNA is filed under the name uncultured bacterium. RNAcentral's name for it is "partial 16S ribosomal RNA". It matches the Rfam family "Bacterial small subunit ribosomal RNA", at positions 524 to 776 of the family's 1533-position model. The record is from RNAcentral.